This 127-nucleotide small RNA is filed under the name Marmota monax (woodchuck). Lineage: Eukaryota; Metazoa; Chordata; Mammalia; Rodentia; Sciuridae. The record is from RNAcentral.
GUCAGGAGUGGUGGCCCACACCUGUGAUCCUGGCAGCUCAGGAGGCUGAGGCAGGAGGAUCGCAAGGUGGAGGCCAGCCUCAGCAGCUCAGUGAGGCCCUGAGCAACUCAGUGAGACCCUGUCUCUC